GCGGUGACGAGCAAGGAGGCCGCCGAACGGAGUCUUGCUCCGGCUGAUCCGGCCGGCGAAGAAGGUGAGGGGACGCCAACGGUCCCAGAAGCCCCGGACGCCCCCGCCCCUCCUGAUGAGGCCAUGGGCAAUACAGAACCUGCGAGU
Long non-coding RNA from Zingiber officinale, 147 nucleotides. RefSeq lists it as uncharacterized. The record is from RefSeq and is a predicted model, not a curated record. Lineage: Eukaryota; Viridiplantae; Streptophyta; Magnoliopsida; Zingiberales; Zingiberaceae. The transcript is spliced from 2 exons.